GUGCUCUCAUUGGCAGCAAAGAUACUGAAAUUGAAAUGGCACAGAGGAGAAUCGCAUGGCCCUUGUGCAAGGAUGACAUGCAAAUUUGUGAAAGGUUCUAUGUAAUA
Aotus nancymaae (Ma's night monkey) is the source of this 107-nucleotide small nuclear RNA. NCBI's taxonomy places the organism in Eukaryota, Metazoa, Chordata, Mammalia, Primates, Aotidae. The record is from Ensembl.